CCCUUCCAUUCUACCAUAAAACCCUAAACAAUUCCUACGCCGCUCAGCUCUUUCCAACUUCUUCUUUUUCGCUAUGUAAAAGUGUGGCAUUUGGAGCAUCAGAGAUUCAAUCAGCUAUCACCUGAAUCUGCCUUCUUCUUUUUUUGAAAUCGCCCUUAAAUUCAUUACAUUAUCCUCUCAAAUUUUAGUUCUUAAAAAAACACUAAAUUUGCAGAAAAUGGCCAUUGAUUGGAUGCAACUCCCGCAAGAUCUCUUGCAAUCUAUUUCCAAGAAACUCGCCAUUUACAGUGAUUACGUCCGCUUGCGAGCCGUUUGCACCCAAUGGUGCUCCUCAGUCCCAAGGUUCCCACAACACCUCCCCGUCAAAUGCCAUGGCUCAUGCUUCUCCUCUCAGAAUCCCUCUACAAUCCCACCGCUCCUUCUACGACCUCUCCACUGACAAGACCUACCAUUUAGUGCUCCCAGAAACUUCUUUCCCUGAUCUUCACAUUGACUCCUUCAACGGCUGGCUUAUCAUCUUCGACAAUUCCUCUGCCAUCUUUCUCCUCAAUCCUAUCACCCGAGUCAAGUUUCAUCUCCCUUCACUCUCCUCCUUCUGCAACGAGGAUAUAGCGGGAAUCAUUCCGAGAUAUAUUGCGAGGAAUCAGUAAACCUCCUCCAUAAUCAGUAGCAGAAAAUGAGACAGAUGAAUUUUCUCCGACAAACAGCAACCGGUCACCCAAAUCUCUCCCUCCACCUCAGCCUCCGCAGCCUGCUCCAAUUCAUCCUGUAAACCUCCAAGGACAUCCUUCUAAAGAAUGACAAAAAGCAUCUUGUAGAGGACUAUCAUAAUCCACGUGGCGUACGACCAAGAACAAUGCGCAGCCACCUUUUCCUCCGGAAACUAAGAAGGCAAACCCGUCAGCUUCAAACUCAAUUGGAUUUGGAGAUUGCAUAUAUGUAGACGAGGAACACAAGUCACCUAAAGAAGACAUCCCAGUGCCCAUGUUUUUAGAACAAGCAGAAGCUAUGCCUAGUGAAACUAAUGAGAUGGAGGAGGUUGAAAUGAAGGAUAUAGUUGAAGAACCUGUCAUGGAUAUCGACAGCUAGCUGUAAUGCAAAGAAUCCACUCGCAGUUGUGGACUACAUUGAAGAUCUCUAUGCCUACUACAGAAAAAUGGAGAUAAAAUACAUUCUCCACAUGGUAUAUUUGGUGAUUUCAUGGGACAAGUUGUUACUGGUCGUACGCCACGUGGAUUAUGCUACUCCCCUACAGGGUGCUUUUGUGUCCUUCUUUAGAAGGACGUUCUUGGAGGUUUACAGGAUGAAUUGGAGCAGGCUGCGGUGGAGGGAGAGAUUUGGGUGACCGGUUGCUGUUUGUCGGGGAAAAUUCAUCUGUCUUGCUGUCUGCUGUUGAUUAUGGAGGAGGUUUACUGAUUCCUCGCAAUAUAUCUCGGAAUGAUUCCCGUUAUAUCUCCUCGUUGCAGAAGGAGGAGAGUGAAGGGAGAUGGAACUUGACUUGGGUGAUAGGAUUGAGGAGAAAGAUGACAGAGGAGUUGUCGAAGAUGACGAGCCAGCUGUUGAAGGAGUCAAUGUGAAGAUUAGGGAAAGAAAUUUUUGGGAGCUCUAAAUGGUAGGUCUUGUCGGUGGAGAGGUUGUAGAAGGAGCGGUGGGAUUGUAGAGGGAUUCUGAGAGGGGAAGCAUGAGCCAUGGCAUUUGACGGGAGAGGUGUUAUGGGAAUCUUGGGACUGAGGAGUGCUAUUGGGGACAAAUGGCUCACAAGCGGACGUAAUCACCGUAAAUGACGAGUUCCUUGGAAAUGGAUUGCAGGAGAUCUUGCGGGAGUUGCUUCCAAUCAACGGCCAUUUUCUGCAAAUUUAGUGUUUUUUCAAGAACUAAGAUUUGAGAGGAUAAUGUAAUGAAUCUAAGGGUGAUUUCAAAAAAAGAAGAAGGUAGAUUCAUGUGAUAGCUGAUUCAAUCUGAUGCUCCAAAUGCCACAUUUUUACCGACAAGAAAGAAGAAUUCACUAUUUUGCUACCAUAUUGUAUUAAAAAUUGUAUGCCAUAUUGUUUGAACUUUCUGUGUACACGUGAAGAAAAAACAACACAGAAGUAAUUUUUUUGAACGCAUUUCAUACGCGCAUUAAGUUUACCACAUUCAUAUAUUUUAAACCAUAAAUUAAUCUC
Corylus avellana is the source of this 2165-nucleotide non-coding RNA. NCBI's taxonomy places the organism in Eukaryota, Viridiplantae, Streptophyta, Magnoliopsida, Fagales, Betulaceae. The record is from RefSeq and is a predicted model, not a curated record.